RNAcentral lists this long non-coding RNA (4204 nucleotides) under Gossypium barbadense (sea-island cotton). Its description in RNAcentral is "long non-coding RNA (GBAR_LNC001730)". The record is from RNAcentral. Lineage: Eukaryota; Viridiplantae; Streptophyta; Magnoliopsida; Malvales; Malvaceae.
CUUGAACUCUUCCUAUCCUAUAGCAUGCCAUCUAUAUCCGAAUCAGUCCGAUUCAAUUAAUAAGGUUUCAUUUCACUUUUCAAAUACAACCAAUAACCAAUUCUCAUAUUUUCACAUCAUCACAUUUACAUAUAUAUUCAUUUCAAUUCAAAUAAUCAAUACAUACAUAAUGUAUAUACCAAUUCAAUCCAUUUCAAUCAACUAUCAAAGUGCCAAAAUACUUACCUCAACCACUUACCAUAUGCAUUAAAUCAAAAUACAAAAAUUAAUGACUAGGUUCAGAUUUAUAGAAAUACAAACCGUGAAUUUCGAGCUAUUCGACGUCGAUUUUAUCCUUCCCCUUUUUAGUCGAGGAUUCUGGUAGACGUUAGCUACAGAAUUAAAACAAUUAAAAUACAUUAAUACAACACAAUUCAAUUCUACCUUAAAUAUUUCAAUUUUUACUCAAUAUUUGCUUAAAUUCUAAUUUAGUCCUUAAAUCGAGACUAAUUUUUAUUCUUCACAUUUAAUCCCAUAUUUUAUACUAAAAUAAAUUUAAGCUAAAUUUAGCUCUUUAUUUUUAAUUAAACCCAUAAAUUUUGAAUUUUUCAUAAUUUAGUCACUAUUACUCAAAAUUUGCAAUUUAUUCUACAAUCUAGUCCUUUUCCAUUUCUAGCUUAAAAAUCUAUCAAUUUAAUCCCUAAUACUAAAACUAUUCAAAAUUAACAACGUUUAAAAUGUUAAUCAAUGUUAAAAUUUCAACAUAGGUUGGGUAAUACUUAACACCAAAAUUUUCAAAAUAUAAAAAUUACAAGAAAAUGGACUAAAUUGACUAACCAAUUUUGAAUUUGAACCUUGAAGUCCGUAUAGUCGUGCGUCUUUCUCUUUUAAAUCUUUUUUCUUUCAACUUUUUCCACUUACUUUCUUUUUAUCUCAUUUAUUAUUUCUUUUAUUUUGUUUUUAUCAUGUAUUAUAUAAUAUAUAAUACAUGUUUACAUACUUUUAAAUUUAUUAACUACUAUAAUAUAUAUAAAAUAAAUUUACAUAAUAGUUAUAUAUAUAACUCAUUAAUAUCGUCCACUAGUUGAAGUAAAUGUAUAUUUACUACAUUAUUCCUUAUACUAAAAUAAUUCUUAAAUCAUGCAAUUUCACUUAACUGAAAUCUAAUUAACUAGACAACUAAAAAUAUUUACUAGUCUGAUUUACGGGAACGGAGUUCCGGGAAUGCACUUUCUGACACCCCUGACUAUAGGGUCGUUACAAUUCUCCUCUUAAUUAAAUUUCGUCCCCUAAAUUUAUGUGAAAAGAGAUGUGGGUAUUGAGAUCUCAAUGUUUCUUCUAGUUCCCAAGUUGCUUCCUCGACACUAUGACUAUGCCAUAGGACUUUCACUAACAGAACUCGCUUAUUACAUGACUCUUUCACCUCGCGAGCCAAAAUCUCGACCAGUUCUUCAUCAUAAGACAAAACAGGUUGAAUCUUAGUGUCUUUCGUCGAAAUAACGUGAGACAGAUCCGAUCGAUACGUUCUAAGCAUUGAAACUUGAAAAACAUCAUGCAUUUUCUGCAACUCCGCAGGCAAAGCUAAACGAUAUGCAACUGGUCUCAUUCUUUCAAUGAUCUCAUACGGUCCGAUAAAACGAGGACUCAACUUUCCUUUUCGGCCAAAUCUCAAUAUUUUCUUCCAAUGUAAAACUUUAAGAAAUACUUUAUCUCUAACAGAAAAUUCAAUAUCUCGACAUUUCAAAUUCGCAUAAGAUUUUUGUCUAUCAAAGAUUGUCUUCAAUCUAUCUCAAAUUUUCUUAACAAUAUCUUCCGUUUAUUGGAUUAAUUCCGGCCCAAUCAUUCUUCUUUCACCCAAUUCCAUCCAACAAACAGGUGUUCGAUGCCUAUGACCGUAUAAAACUUCGUACAGAGUCAUUUGAAUACUCGAUUGAAAGCUAUUAUUAUAUAAAUAUUCAACCAAGGGUAAGUAACGCUUCCAACUUGAUUCAAAAUCAAUAACAUAAGUGCUAAACGUAUCUUCCAAAAUCUGAAUAACACAUUUAGAUUGUCUGUCUGUCUGCGAAUGAAAAACUAUGCUAAAAUUAAGUCAUGUAGCAAGAGAUUCGUGCAACUGUUUUCAAGAUUUCAAAAUGAACCGCAGAUCUCGAUCAAAGCUAGUUGCCAAAUGUGGUGGGGAAAAAUAAAAAAGCUUCUUUUCAGCUCUUAAAGAAUCGCACGAGGCAACAGAUUGAAAAUUGUAGUGUGAGAUUCCUUAGUGUGAGAUUCCUUUCUCAAAGAGGUAAGGAAUUGUUUAUUAAAGCUAUUUUACAUGUUAUACCUACUUACACUAUAACUUGUUUUUUGCUUCCAAAGUCUGUGUGUGGACUUGGACAAUAGUAUGGCUCAUUUUUGGUAGCAAAAAGGACGUGGGCGAAAAGGGAUUCAUUGCUGCAAUUGGGAAACGACUUUGCGAUAUUAAAGAAAAUGAGGGGUAUGGGAUUUCGUAAUUUAUCCAAAUUUAAUGUUGCAUUAUUAGCUAAACAAGGUUGGUGUAUUCUUAAUUACCUAGAUUCAAUAUUAACAGAAGUUCUUAAGGCUAAGUACUUUCCAAAUACAAAUUUUCUUAAUUCUGAGUUAGGACGUCUACUUUCGUAUAUUUAGAAGGGUGUAUGGACAACUAAAUGAUUGCUGAAGUAUAGGAUUUGUUAGAGGGUGGGAACGGGUCAGAAUAUUUCAAUUGUUGCUGAUGCGUGGCUCCUUGGAUUUGUAAGUUAUAAGGUAGAAUCAAUCAGGAAUUACACUGAACUCAAUAAAGUAGUGAAUCUAAUUGAUGAACAAAAGAGAGAAUGGAAGGUUGACUUAAUUUAUUCUACCUUCUCUAAAAAAAAAGUGGACAAAAUUGUGCGAAAUCCCUUAGCAAUGGAACCUCAUGUGGACUUUAUGGUAUGGAAAGGGGAGGCCUCUGGAGAAUUCCUUGUGUGAAGUUCUUAUAAAUUAUUACAUGACAUUUUUCCUAAUUAUUUAUAGACUAAGGCUAAAAUAUUUUACAAAAAACUGUGGAAUAUUCACAUUCCAAGGAAAAAAUCUUAAUCUAGAAAAUUUCUUGGAAUUUUAUUCCCCACUUUGUGAAUCUUUAGUGUAAGAGAUUGCUCUCGGUGGUAGUAUGUCCUAGAUAUGGAGCAGCUGCUGAAAACAUCGAUUAUAUCUUCAGAGAUUGUCUUGUGACACAAGAAGUUUGGAUUAGUUUGAAUCUGGAAUGGGUAUUAGCAGAGAUAAAUUUGUCACACUGGGAGUGACGUACCUGGGUGUUCAAGAAUAGUUCCAGCAUACAAUGUUGAGUAUGGGUUGGUGCCCACCAGCUAGUUUCAUUGUUAAGCUUAAUUUCGACGCCACUUUUAAUGAAUCUCGGGCAAAAUCAGCUUCAAGGGUGGUGGCUAGAAAUGUUUCGAGGGAGGUCCUCGCAUUCAAAAUAGUGGUUCAUGGGAAGGUGGCCUCUUCGUUUGCAGCAGAGGCCAUUGCGCGUCUCUAAGCAGUGUUCAUGGGAAAAUAGAUGGGGUUCACAUCAGUUGUUAUCAAAGGAUUCUCAGUAUCAGUGAUAAAAAAAGUAGAUCAUAUAAGAUUGAUAAAUCAGUGAUUAGGGGUAUAAUACGAAACAUUCAGCAACAAAAGUAAAUUUUUCACCAAAUAAUCUUUCAACAUACAUACCGAUCUACAAAUCUAGUGGCUCACAAUUUAGCUAGAGAGGCAACGAGAGAAGAAUCGCGAGCAUACUUGAUCGAAAGGGUCCCUAAGUGAGGAACAUUAGAGGUGGAUCUGCGGAGGAGAGAACCUGACUGAGUGAUGUUAGAUAGGUGGUAUAUGAGUGAGAAGAGAAAAGGAAAGUGGGAUAGUCGAUGCGUUUUGGAAACUGCUUUUCUGGGGACUAGAAUCGGUGCAUUUAUUGCGGAUAUGCUGAUUGAAUUCCAGUUGUGAUCAGACUAAGAGUUUGUUUGAAUUUUCUUUUUUGCUUUUUAUAUCCUUUUUUUAAAUUUUUUAGUGGUACAUUUCACUUUUUUUUUUUCGCAAACUCUUGGGUUUUGUUUUGUUUAUGAUGGGCUUGUUGUUUUUGUUAGCCCAGUUGUAAUUGUUUUUUUUUAUUUUAAUACACCAAUCUAGUUUAUCAAAAAAAAUUAGUUCAUCUUAGUUGUAAUGAAAUUCAUAUUUUUUUUAUCAAUGUCAUUAUAGGUAUCAUAUUUGUUUUUUU